RNAcentral lists this ribosomal RNA (497 nucleotides) under uncultured bacterium. RNAcentral describes it as "partial 16S ribosomal RNA". It matches the Rfam family "Bacterial small subunit ribosomal RNA", at positions 28 to 507 of the family's 1533-position model. The record is from RNAcentral.
GAUGAACGCUGGCGGCGUGCCUAAUACAUGCAAGUCGAGCGAACAGACGAGGAGCUUGCUCCUCUGAAGUUAGCGGCGGACGGGUGAGUAACACGUGGAUAACCUACCUAUAAGACUGGGAUAACUUCGGGAAACCGGAGCUAAUACCGGAUAAUAUAUUGAACCGCAUGGUUCAAUAGUGAAAGACGGUUUUGCUGUCACUUAUAGAUGGAUCCGCGCCGCAUUAGCUAGUUGGUAAGGUAACGGCUUACCAAGGCAACGAUGCGUAGCCGACCUGAGAGGGUGAUCGGCCACACUGGAACUGAGACACGGUCCAGACUCCUACGGGAGGCAGCAGUAGAGAAUCUUCCGCAAUGGGCGAAAGCCUGACGGAGCAACGCCGCGUGAGUGAUGAAGGUCUUCGGAUCGUAAAACUCUGUUAUUAGGGAAGAACAAAUGUGUAAGUAACUAUGCACGUCUUGACGGUACCUAAUCAGAAAGCCACGGCUAACUACGUG